AUGGGGCCAAAACAGUGGAAGAAGAUCAACAAGAAAUCUCCUUCAGCUGACAAGCAGGGUUGCAGGGUGGUCAAACUGUUGGCUGGAGCAAGAGAGGUCGUUGCUUCAAUGCUUCAGUCAUCCACGCGGUUCCUACUGAAGCAAAUUGUGAUGCCGAGUUAUAACAAGUGGUAUCUCGUCUCCAAGAAGUUUCAAAAGAACAGACUUCCAUGCAACAAGGAGCAAUUACUGAAACUGGAGUUUCGUUAUUCUUGA
Molecule: ribosomal RNA, 255 nt
Filed under: Triticum aestivum (bread wheat)
Lineage: Eukaryota; Viridiplantae; Streptophyta; Magnoliopsida; Poales; Poaceae
Description: partial small subunit ribosomal RNA
Source: RNAcentral